UGCCUGGAGUGAAGAUUCUGCCCAUUGGUCAAGAGACCUCCCUCUCAGAUGCUGGCUCUGCCCCUGCCUUUGGGGGUCGACCCUUGUACUCGCAGGACCUUAGGUGACUCUGUAAGUAUAGUAAAACGCAGUUAAUAUGAUGUUAUCAUUCAAUCAUUUUUAAAAAGUGGAGCAACCAGUUGACAAGGACUUUGUCAAAGGAAAAAUUUCUGCAUGUGCACACACAGAUCUUGGAAGUUUAUUCAUCUCAGCAGAGGCAGACAGGAGCAUCAACAGCCUUGGGGACAGCAGCAGUGGUGGUAGGGCAAAAUAAAACUUAUAUGAAACUGUAAUCACUAAUGUGUGAAAAUGGAAGAUUCAGGAAGUGUUUCAUAUCUGAAAUAUGAACCCAACGUGGAAUCAACAUGCAUCCAAACAGGACUAAAUGUGCAAACCCAAGGCAAGAUUAAAACUAUAAAUAUUUAGCAAUUUGGCAAAUUGGUCAUUUUGGAGACUAGCUUUUAGCAAAUUCAUCAUAUGUUUAAUUGAUUUCCAGUAAAUUGGCUGCUUCCAUCAAGGCUGCCUUGGGUGACUAUGUCCAAGCAACCAAAUUGCUCUC
This 598-nucleotide long non-coding RNA is filed under the name Homo sapiens (human). RNAcentral's name for it is "HRG and FETUB antisense RNA 1". The record is from RNAcentral. Lineage: Eukaryota; Metazoa; Chordata; Mammalia; Primates; Hominidae.